GACGAACGCUGGCGGCGCGCUUAACACAUGCAAGUCGAGCGAAGCGGCGGACGGGUGAGUAACACGUGAGUAACCUGACUUAGACAUAGGGAUAGCCUCGGGAAACCGGGCUUACUACAACAUGGGCGAAGAUGGACUCGCGUCCAAUUAGCUAGUUGGUAGGUAACGGCACACAAAGGCGACGAUGUGUAGCCGGCCUGGGAGGGUGAACGGCCACAUUGUCACUGAGAAACGGUCCAAACGCUCCGGGCGGCAGCAGUGGGGAAUAUGGCACAAUGGAGGGAACUCUGAUGCAGCGACGCCGAGUGAACGAAGAAGGCUUUCGAGUCGUAAAGGUCUUUUAUAUGGGAAGCGGUACCAUAAGAAAAAGCCCCGGCUAACUACGUGCCAGCAGCCGCGGUAAUUC
Molecule: ribosomal RNA, 406 nt
Filed under: uncultured bacterium
Lineage: Bacteria
Description: partial 16S ribosomal RNA
Rfam family: Bacterial small subunit ribosomal RNA
Source: RNAcentral